This 241-nucleotide unclassified non-coding RNA is filed under the name uncultured fungus. Its description in RNAcentral is "partial contains 18S rRNA, ITS1, 5.8S rRNA, ITS2 and 28S rRNA". Lineage: Eukaryota; Fungi. The record is from RNAcentral.
AAGGAUCAUUACCGAAUUGUCAACAAGAGUUGUUGCUGGUCUCCGUAUGGGGGCAUGUGCACGCUCUGUUUACACAUCCACUCACACCUGUGCACCCUCUGUAGUUCUAUGGCCUGGGUGGGCUCUGUCCCCCUGCUGUGGUUCUGCGUCUUUACACACACACUACAAUGAAGUCUCAUGGAAUGUAUGUCGCGUUUAACGCAAUGAAAUACAACUUUCAGCAACGGAUCUCUUGGCUCUC